Molecule: ribosomal RNA, 493 nt
Filed under: uncultured bacterium
Lineage: Bacteria
Description: partial 16S ribosomal RNA
Rfam family: Bacterial small subunit ribosomal RNA
Source: RNAcentral
GACGAACGCUGGCGGCGUGCUUAACACAUGCAAGUCGAACGGAAAGGCCUGCUUUCCCUUGUGGAUUGCGGGUACUCGAGUGGCGAACGGGUGAGUAACACGUGAGUGAUCUGCCCCCAACUUGGGUAUAAGCCUGGGAAACUGGGUCUAAUUCCCGAUAGGACUGCAGGGUGGUGCCUGUGGUGGAAAACGAUUUUCUAGUGGUUGGGGAUGAGCUCGCGGCCUAUCAGCUUGUUGGUGGGGUAAUGGCCUACCAAGGCGGCGACGGGUAGCCGGCCUGGGAGGGUGGACGGCCACAUUGGGCCUGGGAUACGGCCCAGACGGCGACGGGAGUCAGCAGUGGGGAAUAUUGCACAAUGGGCGGAAGCCUGAUGCAGCGACGCCGCGUGGGGGAUGACGGCCUGCGGGUUGUAAACUCCUUUCGACCGCGAGGAAGCCACCUGGUUGGAAGGGUGGUGACGGUAGUGGUAGAAGAAGCACCGGCUAACUACGU